This 374-nucleotide ribosomal RNA is filed under the name uncultured organism. RNAcentral describes it as "bacterial SSU rRNA". It matches the Rfam family "Bacterial small subunit ribosomal RNA", at positions 526 to 896 of the family's 1533-position model. The record is from RNAcentral.
CGGGGGGAGCAAGCGUUGUUCGGAUUUACUGGGCGUAAAGGGCGCGUAGGCGGCCACCGCAAGUCGACUGUGAAAUCUCCGGGCUUAACCCGGAAAGGUCAGCCGAUACUGCGGGGCUAGAGUGCAGAAGGGGCAACUGGAAUUCUCGGUGUAGCGGUGAAAUGCGUAGAUAUCGAGAGGAACACCUGCGGCGAAGGCGGGUUGCUGGGCUGACACUGACGCUGAGGCGCGAAAGCUAGGGGAGCGAACGGGAUUAGAUACCCCGGUAGUCCUAGCCCUAAACGAUGAAUGCUUGGUGUCUGGGGUUUUAUAGUCCCCGGGUGCCGUCGCUAUCGCUUUAAGCAUUCCGCCUGGGGAGUACGGUCGCAAGACUG